ACCCUCCCGCGCCGCCCUCGCGGCGUGCCCUGCGGAAGUCCGAGGCACCGCCCCCACCGGAGAGCUCCGGGACUCCCCGAGGGGUUGGAGUGUUAGCGUUUGCGUGUUAACGGGAAAAAGCCAAAACUGUAAAAUAAUUUAAAGGGUCAGUGCCACCCUCCUGUGAAGACAAAGGAACUGGCUGUGCCCAUGUGCCGUGGAUGGCUGCACAUGGAACCACUGCCCUGGAUGGUGGGCUCACAGGUCCUGACUGGCUGCACAUGGAAUCACUGCCCUAGAUGGUGGGCUCACAGGACUGGCUCCCCCCAACACCUGGCUGAUGGUUCCUGUGAACACCAGCACACAGGUUUGCAGAAACUAACCUUGGAUUCUUGAGCUCA
Nycticebus coucang (slow loris) is the source of this 380-nucleotide long non-coding RNA. RefSeq lists it as uncharacterized. Lineage: Eukaryota; Metazoa; Chordata; Mammalia; Primates; Lorisidae. The record is from RefSeq and is a predicted model, not a curated record. The transcript is spliced from 3 exons.